CAGAUUAUAAUUUAUAAUAAAAUACUGGCUUUGGACGCCAAAAAACGAUCACUCGUAAUCUGA
This 63-nucleotide transfer RNA is filed under the name Nereis sp. Its description in RNAcentral is "tRNA-Pro". The record is from RNAcentral. Lineage: Eukaryota; Metazoa; Annelida; Polychaeta; Phyllodocida; Nereididae.